CCUACGGGUGGCAGCAGUCGAGAAUCUUUCACAAUGGGGGAAACCCUGAUGGUGCGACGCCGCGUGGGGGAAUGAAGGUCUUCGGAUUGUAAACUCCUGUCAUGUGGGAGCAAAUUAAAAAGAUAGUACCACAAGAGGAAGAGACGGCUAACUCUGUGCCAGCAGCCGCGGUAAUACAGAGGUCUCAAGCGUUGUUCGGAAUCACUGGGCGUAAAGUGUGCGUAGGCUGUUUCGUAAGUCGUGUGUGAAAGGCGCGGGCUCAACCCGCGGACGGCACGUGAUACUGCGAGACUAGAGUGAUGGAGGGGGAACCGGAAUGCUCGGUGUAGCAGUGAAAUGCGUAGAUAUCGGGAGGAACACUCGUGGCGAAGGCGGGUUCCUGGACAUUAACUGACGCUGAGGCACGAAGGCCAGGGGAGCGAAAGGGAUUAGAUACCCGAGUAGUC
This 446-nucleotide ribosomal RNA is filed under the name uncultured bacterium. RNAcentral's name for it is "partial 16S ribosomal RNA". It matches the Rfam family "Bacterial small subunit ribosomal RNA", at positions 338 to 795 of the family's 1533-position model. The record is from RNAcentral.